UGCAACCUACCUCAAUUAGGGGGAUAGCCCGAAGAAAUUCGGAUUAACACCGCAUAAAAACACAGUACAGCAUUGUACAAUGUUCAAAUAUUUAUAGGAUUAAGAUGGGCAUGCGUGUCAUUAGCUAGUUGGCGGGGUAACGGCCCACCAAGGCGACGAUGACUAGGGGAUCUGAGAGGAUGACCC
RNAcentral lists this ribosomal RNA (186 nucleotides) under uncultured Bacteroidota bacterium. Its description in RNAcentral is "uncultured Bacteroidetes bacterium partial 16S ribosomal RNA". It matches the Rfam family "Bacterial small subunit ribosomal RNA", at positions 120 to 306 of the family's 1533-position model. Lineage: Bacteria; Pseudomonadati; Bacteroidota. The record is from RNAcentral.